Molecule: transfer RNA, 73 nt
Filed under: Omnitrophica bacterium RIFCSPLOWO2_01_FULL_50_24
Lineage: Bacteria; Pseudomonadati; Candidatus Omnitrophota
Description: tRNA-Phe
Rfam family: tRNA
About the family: Transfer RNA (tRNA) molecules are approximately 80 nucleotides in length. Their secondary structure includes four short double-helical elements and three loops (D, anti-codon, and T loops). Further hydrogen bonds mediate the characteristic L-shaped molecular structure. tRNAs have two regions of fundamental functional importance: the anti-codon, which is responsible for specific mRNA codon recognition, and the 3' end, to which the tRNAs corresponding amino acid is attached (by aminoacyl-tRNA synthetases). tRNAs cope with the degeneracy of the genetic code in two manners: having more than one tRNA (with a specific anti-codon) for a particular amino acid; and 'wobble' base-pairing, i.e. permitting non-standard base-pairing at the 3rd anti-codon position.
Source: RNAcentral
GGCCAGGUAGCUCAGUUGGUAGAGCAAGGGACUGAAAAUCCCUGUGUCGGCGGUUCGAUUCCGUCCCUGGCCA